Molecule: microRNA precursor, 65 nt
Filed under: Bombyx mori (domestic silkworm)
Lineage: Eukaryota; Metazoa; Arthropoda; Insecta; Lepidoptera; Bombycidae
Description: mir-2774 microRNA precursor family
Rfam family: mir-2774 microRNA precursor family
Source: Rfam by way of RNAcentral
ACAACAUUCAGACCGUCGGUCUACCGAGCAAUAUCACCCGCUCGGUGGAAGAUGUUUCCCUUCAU